GAGAUUUUAGGCGAACUGCUAAAUCGCCCUUUCGGGCCUGAACUCCCGAACAUCUC
RNAcentral lists this transfer RNA (56 nucleotides) under Agama picticauda. RNAcentral describes it as "tRNA-Ser". The record is from RNAcentral. Lineage: Eukaryota; Metazoa; Chordata; Lepidosauria; Squamata; Agamidae.